CACCGCGGUUAUACGAGAGACUCAAAAUGAUAAGUGUCGGCGUAAAGGGUGGUUAAAAAACUACUGACUAAAGUUAAACAUUUUCUUAGCUGUUAUACGCACUCGAAAAAAUGAAAAUCAAUCACGAAAGUAACUUUAAUUAUUUGACCCCACGAAAGCUAUUAAA
RNAcentral lists this ribosomal RNA (166 nucleotides) under Hippichthys heptagonus. RNAcentral's name for it is "partial 12S rRNA". Lineage: Eukaryota; Metazoa; Chordata; Actinopteri; Syngnathiformes; Syngnathidae. The record is from RNAcentral.